UACGUAGGGUGCAAGCGUUAAUCGGAAUUACUGGGCGUAAAGCGUGCGUAGGCGGCUUUGCAAGACAGAUGUGAAAUCCCCGGGCUUAACCUGGGAACUGCAUUUGAGACUGCAUGGCUGGAGUGCGGCAGAGGGGGAUGGAAUUCCGCGUGUAGCAGUGAAAUGCGUAGAUAUGCGGAGGAACACCGAUGGCGAAGGCAAUCCCCUGGGCCUGGACUGACGCUCAUGCACGAAAGCGUGGGGAGCAAACAGG
Molecule: ribosomal RNA, 253 nt
Filed under: uncultured bacterium
Lineage: Bacteria
Description: partial 16S ribosomal RNA
Rfam family: Bacterial small subunit ribosomal RNA
Source: RNAcentral